Molecule: ribosomal RNA, 253 nt
Filed under: uncultured bacterium
Lineage: Bacteria
Description: partial 16S ribosomal RNA
Rfam family: Bacterial small subunit ribosomal RNA
Source: RNAcentral
UACGUAGGGGGCAAGCGUUGUCCGGAUUUAUUGGGCGUAAAGAGCGUGUAGGCGGCCUGUCAGGUCUGCUGUGAAAACUCGAGGCUCAACCUCGAGAUGUCGGCGGAAACCGUCUGGCUAGAGUCCGGAAGAGGAGAGUGGAAUUCCUGGUGUAGCGGUGAAAUGCGCAGAUAUCAGGAAGAACACCCGUGGCUAAGGCGGCUCUCUAGUACGGUACUGACGCUGAGACGCGAAAGCUAGGGGAGCGAACGGG